Molecule: small nucleolar RNA, 146 nt
Organism: Otolemur garnettii (small-eared galago)
Lineage: Eukaryota; Metazoa; Chordata; Mammalia; Primates; Galagidae
Source: Ensembl
CUUCAGUGAUGACACGAUGACGAGUCAGAAAGGUCACAUUCUGCUCUUGGUCCUUGUCAGUGCCACGUUCUGUGGUGCUGUGCAUGGGUUCCUUUUGCAAAAGUGUCCUGUUUAUUGAUUGAUUUAGAGGCAUUUGUCUGAGAAGG